CCCAGGACCCGAUCCCAUCUCGAACUCGGCCGUCAAACACACCAGCGCCCAUGGUACUGUGUCUCAAGACACGGGAGAGUCGGUCGCCGCCAGGC
This 95-nucleotide ribosomal RNA is filed under the name Methylorubrum populi. The record is from RNAcentral. Lineage: Bacteria; Pseudomonadati; Pseudomonadota; Alphaproteobacteria; Hyphomicrobiales; Methylobacteriaceae.